UCUUAGAUGCUGCCACCAUCCACCCAGUUGCUCAAGACAACCUGAAUCAUCCUUUUGUUAUCUGCACAUCCAAUUGGUCAUCAGGCUUUGUCCCGGAGGGUCCCUGCUAUAUAGAUCCUGAUUCCUGGGCUGUGUUGGAACAGGAGGAGGGCCUGUGUCUCCUCAGGGAUGCCCAUUGGAACCUCUAGUUGCAGGCUGAGGGAUCCUCCAGGCUCCUUACAGCUGCGACCAAGUCCCAGCACUACGGCCGAUGAAUUGGCUGCCUGCGCCAUGUCUUUCAUCACAGCCUGUGAAAGUGAACCCACUCCCAGUGCACUUCCGCUCCUCCACCCAGCGCACUCGGUGUCUACAGUCUCUCCUGGACCAAGAAACAGGACUCCAAGGGCUGGUGAGAUGGCCAAGCCCGAUGACCUAAAUUGAAGCUCCAGAAGCCACACAGUAGAAAGAGUGAAUCAUCUCCAGCAAGCAGUCCUCUGCCUUCUACAUGUGCACACACAUGUCUCCCUGACAAUAAUUUUAAAUGCUCUUUUAGAAAAUGAAAUAGAAAGAAACUGGCCAGAGACUCCUCUCCUGAUCUGUGUGCCUGUCCUUCUGAAGCUCUCAAACACCAAAGAUACUGCUGACCCAAGCCCCCAGCCCAACGCACCAUGGCCACCCCAGUUUCUGUGCUGUUUGACUGAAUCUGUGGAGAACAUGUGUUCCAGAUAUGACAGAACAUGGAACAUGUUGAAUGGUCAUAGUACAUCAUUCAAAUUUCAGGAUUACUCCUGAUGCCAAGGGAUACACAAUCAGCCAGAUGUUGAAUGGCUCUAUUAAAAAUCAGAAUAUCACUGGAAAAGCUAAGUGAGAAGCAAGAAGAUUGGCUGGACACUGGUGGAAACACCCAACGCCCCCCCACUCACCAUUAGUUCACAGGGUUGUCACUGUAUUGGGCUAUUUAAAGGAGCAGGACUGACAGGAUAUAUUCAUGAGAAUUUAUCACACUGAUUUACAUGAGCAGAAUGGCCAACAGCUCACCAGAACACCACCAGCCACCAAUGCCUCCUUGACCUGAGCUAGCAGGGGACAGUGCCUGCCCACAACACAGCAGGGCAAGUGAUAGGGCCACACACAGCUCCCAGAGACAUCUGGUCACAUAGAUGUCACACCCGUGGCCAAAAACCUCAAAUACAAUGAACAGAGCUGAAAACCUGUGCACCGAAGCUUCCUUCACGUCCAGUGUUGUCCUGCACACUGAGGCCAUACCACGGCCACCCUCAGGAAAGCUUCCGUACACACCCAAGUCUGUAAGCACAAACAAAGAUGCCGUUUGUCUGGCCCUGUGGAAACACAAACAAAAAGGUUAGCAUUGGGAUUGCUAUGUUGGGAGUCAACCAAGCAGGGCUCAUAGGGGCUCACAGAGACUGAAGCAGCAACUGUGGAGCCUGCAUGGGUCUGUGCUAGGCCCUUGGCAUGUAUGUUAUGGUUGUUAGCUUGGUGUCUUUGUAGGACUCCUAGUAGUGAAAGCAGGGGCUGUUCUUUUGCCUGUUCUUGGGAGCCUUUUCCAGCCUUGACAUGAGGGAUUAUGCCUAGUCGGUAUGUAUUGUAUGA
This is a long non-coding RNA of Mesocricetus auratus (golden hamster), 1590 nucleotides long. RefSeq lists it as uncharacterized. The record is from RefSeq and is a predicted model, not a curated record. NCBI's taxonomy places the organism in Eukaryota, Metazoa, Chordata, Mammalia, Rodentia, Cricetidae. The transcript has 3 exons.